AACGCACAUUGCGCCCAUUGGUAUUCCGAUGGGCAUGCCUGUUCGAGCGUCAUUAUCAACCCUCAAGCCUCCGGCUUGGUGUUGGAGGUCUGGCGGUCCCUACGGACCGCCCCUCCCAAAGACAACGACGGCGGCGGCGAGCGUCCCCGGUACACUGAGCUUUUCACCGAGCACGUACUGGAUGGGCCUCGACGUCCCGGUCUGCCUCCCCUCCGGGAGAAUUUUUUCAAGGUUGACCUCGGAUCAGGUAGGGAUACCCGCUGAACUUAA
RNAcentral lists this unclassified non-coding RNA (270 nucleotides) under uncultured fungus. RNAcentral describes it as "partial contains 5.8S ribosomal RNA, internal transcribed spacer 2, and large subunit ribosomal RNA". The stretch from base 1 to 52 matches the Rfam family "5.8S ribosomal RNA", at positions 103 to 154 of the family's 154-position model. The record is from RNAcentral. Lineage: Eukaryota; Fungi.